RNAcentral lists this non-coding RNA (70 nucleotides) under Branchiibius sp. NY16-3462-2. RNAcentral describes it as "ZMP/ZTP riboswitch aptamer (pfl RNA motif)". It matches the Rfam family "ZMP/ZTP riboswitch aptamer (pfl RNA motif)". Rfam says of the family: Previously known as pfl RNA. RNAcentral also lists the same sequence under 1 other name. Lineage: Bacteria; Bacillati; Actinomycetota; Actinomycetes; Micrococcales; Dermacoccaceae. The record is from Rfam by way of RNAcentral.
GACACGACUGGCGAAGGUGGGCCACCACCGGGGAGUGAAGAGUCGCGCAUCGCCCGCCUGGGUGCGCUCG